AAAGUCGUAACAAGGUUUCCGUAGGUGAACCUGCGGAAGGAUCAUUAUUUUAGUAGCUUGCUACUGCUCAGAGGUUUUGUCAGACUGUAUAGUAAUGCUACUGAUGAGCAGCAUAAACCUCGACCCUAACCCUUGUUUUUUGUGUACCUAUGUUUCCUCAGCGGAUUCUAUCCGCUGGUUGGACAUCUCUAACAUAUUUGAAUAUUCAAUCAGCGUCUGAGAAACUUAAUCAUUACAACUUUCAACAACGGAUCUCUUGGUUCUG
This 265-nucleotide unclassified non-coding RNA is filed under the name Ascomycota sp. Its description in RNAcentral is "partial contains small subunit ribosomal RNA, internal transcribed spacer 1, and 5.8S ribosomal RNA". The stretch from base 1 to 47 matches the Rfam family "Eukaryotic small subunit ribosomal RNA", at positions 1785 to 1831 of the family's 1831-position model. Lineage: Eukaryota; Fungi; Ascomycota. The record is from RNAcentral.